AAAAAAUUAGUUAAAUUUAUAACAUUAGCUUGUCAAACUAAAAUUAUUUUAAAAAUAUUUUUUA
This 64-nucleotide transfer RNA is filed under the name Meropathus sp. BMNH 675618. RNAcentral's name for it is "tRNA-Asp". The record is from RNAcentral. Lineage: Eukaryota; Metazoa; Arthropoda; Insecta; Coleoptera; Hydraenidae.